GGAGAAAUGCAUAAAAGCAGACCUGUGAAUAAAGCUGACAGUUGACUCCCAGACUGUGUAGUCUAGUCCUUGGGGAGAUGGAUUAUGCUGUGUUCCUGUGAUUUUGUAUGCUGAAUCUUUGUUCCCAGCGGAGAGCUAUUGGAUUAACCCCUGCUACUCCGCUACAGGGGGUUCCUGUGCGAACAGUGACGAACGCUCCCCCUGUUCAGUAGAUCAUAUCUACCAAAUAUCGUUCGUCUAGAUGGUUGGGAAGUUGGACGGGUUCGAGGAGACGCGAGGCCGAAUAAGGUUCCAGUUCGACCAAGUAGCGAUGCCUGCGUUCGGGAGGCAAAAUGGCCGCCAUGCACUGGACCACGUGCAUUCGGUUAUACAAAUGGCGGACACCAAGGGAAAGCACUCAAGAGAAGGUGUCAAGUCAUUAAAGGGACACUAUAGUCACCUGAACAACUUUAGCUUAAUGAAGCAGUUUUGGUGUAUAGAACAUGCCCCUGCAACCUCACUGCUCAAUCCUCUGCCAUUUAGGAGUUAAAUCCCUUUGUUUAUGAACCCUAGUCACACCUCCCUGCAUGUGACUUGCACAGCCUUCCAUAAACACUUCCUGUAAAGAGAGCCCUAUUUAGGCUUUCUUUAUUGCAAGUUCUGUUUAAUUAAGAUUUUCUUAUCACCUGCUAUGUUAAUAGCUUGCUAGACCCUGCAAGAGCCUCCUGUAUGUGAUUAAAGUUCAAUUUAGAGAUUGAGAUACAAUUAUUUAAGGUAAAU
This is a non-coding RNA of Pelobates cultripes (western spadefoot toad), 759 nucleotides long. Lineage: Eukaryota; Metazoa; Chordata; Amphibia; Anura; Pelobatidae. The record is from the annotation of a GenBank genome assembly.